RNAcentral lists this unclassified non-coding RNA (539 nucleotides) under Hevea brasiliensis (rubber tree). Lineage: Eukaryota; Viridiplantae; Streptophyta; Magnoliopsida; Malpighiales; Euphorbiaceae. The record is from RNAcentral.
CUUUAGGAAAACACACUUCUUCUUCAUAAUAAGGGGUCAAGACACUGAAAGCCAUCAUUUUCUCAACAACAGGUGCACGAGGCAUGUUCAUGAAGAGGGAAUUGCUAAAAAAAGCAAUACGCCGUCUUGCCUCAAUAUUCUUUGGGACAUUGUGCAUGGAAUCUCUGGAGUUAAGAAUUGUGUACAAACGCCGUACAUGCCUGUUGAAUAACUCAUCUUCAGCAUCUGGAAACUCAAUAGCAUUCUCAAAGAGUAACCCUUCAUCAGUGGAUGCACUAUGGGGGGCUAGACCUUUCUGCCUCAAUUGCUCAAUUGCCCUUUUUCCCCCUGGAAAGUCUCGAACAUAAAACUCAUACAAUGCCUGCAAUAUAUUCACUGCCUUACUUAGAUCCUUCUUUGGUCCCAUCAGAACCUCAACAAAUGAUAUCAACUUGGAAUGAACAGAUUCUAGUUGUUUCAGAUUGUAAGCCUCAGUAACCUUUUCAAACUGAAUAUUGUUGUCUAUUUCAUCGAAAAUUCUUUCAGCAAUAGAAUGUUCU